This 2907-nucleotide ribosomal RNA is filed under the name Salmonella enterica subsp. enterica serovar Infantis. RNAcentral describes it as "23S ribosomal RNA". It matches the Rfam family "Bacterial large subunit ribosomal RNA". Lineage: Bacteria; Pseudomonadati; Pseudomonadota; Gammaproteobacteria; Enterobacterales; Enterobacteriaceae. RNAcentral also lists the same sequence under 6 other names. The record is from RNAcentral.
GGUUAAGCGACUAAGCGUACACGGUGGAUGCCCUGGCAGUCAGAGGCGAUGAAGGGCGUGCUAAUCUGCGAUAAGCGCCGGUAAGGUGAUAUGAACCGUUAUAACCGGCGAUACCCGAAUGGGGAAACCCAGUGUGAUUCGUCACACUAUCAUUAACUGAAUCCAUAGGUUAAUGAGGCGAACCGGGGGAACUGAAACAUCUAAGUACCCCGAGGAAAAGAAAUCAACCGAGAUUCCCCCAGUAGCGGCGAGCGAACGGGGAGGAGCCCAGAGCCUGAAUCAGCAUGUGUGUUAGUGGAAGCGUCUGGAAAGGCGCGCGAUACAGGGUGACAGCCCCGUACACAAAAGCGCAUGUGCUGUGAGCUCGAUGAGUAGGGCGGGACACGUGGUAUCCUGUCUGAAUAUGGGGGGACCAUCCUCCAAGGCUAAAUACUCCUGACUGACCGAUAGUGAACCAGUACCGUGAGGGAAAGGCGAAAAGAACCCCGGCGAGGGGAGUGAAAAAGAACCUGAAACCGUGUACGUACAAGCAGUGGGAGCACAGGUUUACCUGUGUGACUGCGUACCUUUUGUAUAAUGGGUCAGCGACUUAUAUUCUGUAGCAAGGUUAACCGAAUAGGGGAGCCGGAGGGAAACCGAGUCUUAAUUGGGCGUUAAGUUGCAGGGUAUAGACCCGAAACCCGGUGAUCUAGCCAUGGGCAGGUUGAAGGUUGGGUAACACUAACUGGAGGACCGAACCGACUAAUGUUGAAAAAUUAGCGGAUGACCUGUGGCUGGGGGUGAAAGGCCAAUCAAACCGGGAGAUAGCUGGUUCUCCCCGAAAGCUAUUUAGGUAGCGCCUCGUGAAUUCAUCUCCGGGGGUAGAGCACUGUUUCGGCUAGGGGGCCAUCCCGGCUUACCAACCCGAUGCAAACUGCGAAUACCGGAGAAUGUUAUCACGGGAGACACACGGCGGGUGCUAACGUCCGUCGUGAAGAGGGAAACAACCCAGACCGCCAGCUAAGGUCCCAAAGUCAUGGUUAAGUGGGAAACGAUGUGGGAAGGCCCAGACAGCCAGGAUGUUGGCUUAGAAGCAGCCAUCAUUUAAAGAAAGCGUAAUAGCUCACUGGUCGAGUCGGCCUGCGCGGAAGAUGUAACGGGGCUAAACCAUGCACCGAAGCUGCGGCAGCGACACUGUGUGUUGUUGGGUAGGGGAGCGUUCUGUAAGCCUGUGAAGGUGUGUCGUGAGGCAUGCUGGAGGUAUCAGAAGUGCGAAUGCUGACAUAAGUAACGAUAAAGCGGGUGAAAAGCCCGCUCGCCGGAAGACCAAGGGUUCCUGUCCAACGUUAAUCGGGGCAGGGUGAGUCGACCCCUAAGGCGAGGCCGAAAGGCGUAGUCGAUGGGAAACGGGUUAAUAUUCCCGUACUUGGUGUUACUGCGAAGGGGGGACGGAGAAGGCUAUGUUGGCCGGGCGACGGUUGUCCCGGUUUAAGCGUGUAGGUGUGUGUUCCAGGUAAAUCCGGUUCACUUUAACACUGAGGCGUGACGACGAGGCACUACGGUGCUGAAGCAACAAAUGCCCUGCUUCCAGGAAAAGCCUCUAAGCAUCAGGUAACAUCAAAUCGUACCCCAAACCGACACAGGUGGUCAGGUAGAGAAUACCAAGGCGCUUGAGAGAACUCGGGUGAAGGAACUAGGCAAAAUGGUGCCGUAACUUCGGGAGAAGGCACGCUGACACGUAGGUGAAGUGAUUUACUCAUGGAGCUGAAGUCAGUCGAAGAUACCAGCUGGCUGCAACUGUUUAUUAAAAACACAGCACUGUGCAAACACGAAAGUGGACGUAUACGGUGUGACGCCUGCCCGGUGCCGGAAGGUUAAUUGAUGGGGUCAGCGCAAGCGAAGCUCCUGAUCGAAGCCCCGGUAAACGGCGGCCGUAACUAUAACGGUCCUAAGGUAGCGAAAUUCCUUGUCGGGUAAGUUCCGACCUGCACGAAUGGCGUAAUGAUGGCCAGGCUGUCUCCACCCGAGACUCAGUGAAAUUGAACUCGCUGUGAAGAUGCAGUGUACCCGCGGCAAGACGGAAAGACCCCGUGAACCUUUACUAUAGCUUGACACUGAACAUUGAGCCUUGAUGUGUAGGAUAGGUGGGAGGCUUUGAAGUGUGGACGCCAGUCUGCAUGGAGCCGACCUUGAAAUACCACCCUUUAAUGUUUGAUGUUCUAACGUGGACCCGUUACCCGGGUUGCGGACAGUGUCUGGUGGGUAGUUUGACUGGGGCGGUCUCCUCCUAAAGAGUAACGGAGGAGCACGAAGGUUGGCUAAUCCUGGUCGGACAUCAGGAGGUUAGUGCAAUGGCAUAAGCCAGCUUGACUGCGAGCGUGACGGCGCGAGCAGGUGCGAAAGCAGGUCAUAGUGAUCCGGUGGUUCUGAAUGGAAGGGCCAUCGCUCAACGGAUAAAAGGUACUCCGGGGAUAACAGGCUGAUACCGCCCAAGAGUUCAUAUCGACGGCGGUGUUUGGCACCUCGAUGUCGGCUCAUCACAUCCUGGGGCUGAAGUAGGUCCCAAGGGUAUGGCUGUUCGCCAUUUAAAGUGGUACGCGAGCUGGGUUUAGAACGUCGUGAGACAGUUCGGUCCCUAUCUGCCGUGGGCGCUGGAGAACUGAGGGGGGCUGCUCCUAGUACGAGAGGACCGGAGUGGACGCAUCACUGGUGUUCGGGUUGUCAUGCCAAUGGCACUGCCCGGUAGCUAAAUGCGGAAGAGAUAAGUGCUGAAAGCAUCUAAGCACGAAACUUGCCCCGAGAUGAGUUCUCCCUGAGACUUAGAGUCUCCUGAAGGAACGUUGAAGACGACGACGUUGAUAGGCCGGGUGUGUAAGCGCAGCGAUGCGUUGAGCUAACCGGUACUAAUGAACCGUGAGGCUUAACCUU